AACCAAAUUGCGCAACCGACUGCAAAUAGAAACUUUAAAUGCGAUUUUAUCGAUCAGGUUUGGGCUACGCCGGAAAGGCGUAUGUUGCCAUGAAUAUGAAAUUCCUGAGAAAUAUUUAAAAAUGAUUGGAAGCAACCAAUCUACAAAAAUCAAAGUUUAGAAGUUUGCAAUGAUGACAUUGACGAUGUUCUAAACGAGUUGGCAAGCAAUAAAGAGUGAUAUUACAUAAAAUCCUUUUUCUGUAACGAGCUGACGGCAACACUGGUGCUCAUACAGAUGGAUCAGCAGACAGACAGACUGACCUGGCUAUAUUGUCUCGGUACUUUAUAGAGUCGGAGAUGCCUCCUUCUGCCAUUUCGUGCCGUAGCAAAAUUAUAAUACCCUUCUACCCUAUGGGUAGCAGGUGAAAGUGAAAAGACAUUAGAAUAGGACAAGUGCAACGUAAUGUGAAACUCAAAAGAGAGCUACCGAAAUGUUGGUUAGCUUGUCAGUUUUGAAAUUGUCAACCUUAUAGCUCGAUCAAAUUUUGUGAUUUCUAACCAGUUUCAGCGAUCAUAUAAAAGAAUUAAUUAGUAUAUAGCUACUGAUAGUAAAAGACAUUCCUAAGAUUCGUAAUAAUAACUAAAUUAAAACCGGAUCAUUUGGAGUACUUAUUUUAAAAUUUUUUAUUUGUAUUGAUUCUUUUUUCACACAUAUAUACUAUAUGUUCGCUUGCUUUCAACCGACUUAAAUUAAAAGCUUAAAUGUAAUAAGUACUAUGUUAUAUGUAUAUAAAUACGCUGUGCUACAUUUAAAACCUAAGAUUUAGUCCUCUUUUCUUUUAUUUUACCAAUCUCUGUAAAAUUAUACAUUAAAACUUGAAAUAUUUCAGUUGUCAGUUGGAUAGAAUAAUACUGUAUAUAGUGUGGCAGCGGUGAAUCUGACUGAGUGUGGUUGUGUAACUGUUUAAAUGUCUAUACAAUUCAUGUUUGCUUAAUUUUUGGUUUUUAUGCUUGGGAGGAUAAUCAAUUGGCGCAUGGCUGGUAAAUAUUUCAAUAAAUGACAAACAAAAUUAUAAAUAGAAAAACUAUGAUGGUUAACAUUCAAUUCUAUUUACGUAUAUUUGAAUAGGCACGUGUGUCUUUAAACAACACAUUGUUAAAGAGGACUGCAUGUUUUAUGACUUACAAAUUUGUACAUAAUCAGAUGGUUGUAUUUUAUGUUUUUUGUAUUCAAGUUGUAUGCCAAUUUUAGAAGAACACUGUACUGUAUUCUAAGUUGAAUUUAUAAUAUAUAACAUAAUUUCGCAAUUUUCCUUAAUACAUUUUUCUGAAAGUUGAUAAAAGCGGUGGAGCAUAACAACGUUUUCGACUGAGCAAUGCACUUAAUCAGUAGUCUUAUUAUGCACGAUGCAGUAUACUUAUUAAAACCACAAUACUGAUUUACACCCCAAUGAUCAGAAUUAUAAGACUAAGAGAAAAAUUAAGUUGUAUGGUUCAAAAUAAAUAAUAUUAGUGAUAAUUUCAAUUAUUGUAAUAUAAUACAAAAUAUAUAUCAAAAAUUAAAGAUCUAUAAUACAACAUGGACACAGUUGUAUUAUUACGCACUGUAAUUGGAUACUUAUCGAGAAAGCUGUUCUGGGUUUUAAAAUAAUAUAAAUCAAGCAAUUUUAUAAAUUUUCAAGGUUUUGACGCUUGCCACAAGGUUUUUAAUGGUUUGUACAACUAAGUAUCUCUGCAAGAUCAAUGCACAUAAUUAAACUUUGUAAUUUAAGAUUUAUCUCUCACUUCAAUAACUCAUUAAAAGAUUAUUUGAGUAUUCAAAUAUGUUUUGGUUUUAUUGAGUUUUAAUGUGUACGGAAUUUUAUUGUAGUGUAUUAUAUGAAUAAUCUAAAUUUAAUACUAUUGUUGAAUGUGUAUGUGUAUAUAGUACUGCAUGAUUUUUAAUGUGUUCAAUGAAGUUCGAAGC
This is a long non-coding RNA of Drosophila sulfurigaster albostrigata, 1947 nucleotides long. RefSeq lists it as uncharacterized. The transcript is spliced from 3 exons. The record is from RefSeq and is a predicted model, not a curated record. NCBI's taxonomy places the organism in Eukaryota, Metazoa, Arthropoda, Insecta, Diptera, Drosophilidae.